AGCGGACAGAUGGGAGCUUGCUCCCUGAUGUCAGCGGCGGACGGGUGAGUAACACGUGGGUAACCUGCCUGUAAGACUGGGAUAACUCCGGGAAACCGGGGCUAAUACCGGAUGCUUGAUUGAACCGCAUGGUUCAAUUAUAAAAGGUGGCUUUUAGCUACCACUUACAGAUGGACCCGCGGCGCAUUAGCUAGUUGGUGAGGUAACGGCUCACCAAGGCAACGAUGCGUAGCCGACCUGAGAGGGUGAUCGGCCACACUGGGACUGAGACACGGCCCAGACUCCUACGGGAGGCAGCAGUAGGGAAUCUUCCGCAAUGGACGAAAGUCUGACGGAGCAACGCCGCGUGAGUGAUGAAGGUUUUCGGAUCGUAAAACUCUGUUGUUAGGGAAGAACAAGUACCGUUCGAAUAGGGCGGUACCUUGACGGUACCUAACCAGAAAGCCACGGCUAACUACGUGCCAGCAGCCGCGGUAAUACGUAGGUGGCAAGCGUUGUCCGGAAUUAUUGGGCGUAAAGCGCGCGCAGGCGGUUUCUUAAGUCUGAUGUGAAAGCCCCCGGCUCAACCGGGGAGGGUCAUUGGAAACUGGGGAACUUGAGUGCAGAAGAGGAGAGUGGAAUUCCACGUGUAGCGGUGAAAUGCGUAGAGAUGUGGAGGAACACCAGUGGCGAAGGCGACUCUCUGGUCUGUAACUGACGCUGAGG
Molecule: ribosomal RNA, 705 nt
Filed under: Bacillus sp. (in: firmicutes)
Lineage: Bacteria; Bacillati; Bacillota; Bacilli; Caryophanales; Bacillaceae
Description: bacterial SSU rRNA
Rfam family: Bacterial small subunit ribosomal RNA
Source: RNAcentral